RNAcentral lists this ribosomal RNA (279 nucleotides) under uncultured bacterium. RNAcentral describes it as "partial 16S ribosomal RNA". It matches the Rfam family "Bacterial small subunit ribosomal RNA", at positions 506 to 784 of the family's 1533-position model. The record is from RNAcentral.
UGCCAGCCUCCGCGGUACUACUUAUUGUCCAAUCGUUAAUCGGAAUUACUGGGCGUAAAGCGUGCGCAGGCGGUUGUGCAAGACCGAUGUGAAAUCCCCGAGCUUAACUUGGGAAUUGCAUUGGUGACUGCGCGGCUAGAGUGUGUCAGAGGGGGGUAGAAUUCCACGUGUAGCAGUGAAAUGCGUAGAGAUGUGGAGGAAUACCGAUGGCGAAGGCAGCCCCCUGGGAUAACACUGACGCUCAUGCACGAAAGCGUGGGGAGCAAACAGGAUUAGAUA